GCCGUCGUGGCCCGUGGAGGCCGCCCCUACCCAAUAGGCUUUCCUUGUUGAUCUUCAAAACUUGAAGGGGAGCCGGUGGUUCGAUUCCACCCGACGGCA
Molecule: non-coding RNA, 99 nt
Organism: Mycena galopus ATCC 62051
Lineage: Eukaryota; Fungi; Basidiomycota; Agaricomycetes; Agaricales; Mycenaceae
Source: the annotation of a GenBank genome assembly